UAUGGGGGAUAACGAAAAUUAUGAAGCAUUUCUGUUUCCUUCUCUCUCUGAUCUCACUCAAUCCUCUCUUACUCUGAAUUCUCAAUUCUCUUCUUAAUCUCUUCUUCCCUUUUUCAAUAAUCUCACCAUUAUUCAAUUCCUUGAGCUCAAGAGCUUGACAAAAUUGGUAUCCAGAGCUAUUGAUCCUUGGUUCUAAACGGCAGAGAGCAUAAGAUUCGAGACACUAGAAGAACAAGUUAAAAGGCAGGAAAUCAGGCUUCCAGAAAUAAUGGAAUCUGUGCAUUCUUCACAAUCUGCAUAGCAACAGAUCAGAAAUGAGAUAAAACAAGAAUUGGAGGAAAAUAAUAAGAGAAUGGAGCAUCUGGUGGUUGGAAUGGAAUAGAACUUCAGUUCCUUUAUGGAACAGAAAUUC
Molecule: long non-coding RNA, 412 nt
Filed under: Coffea arabica (coffee)
Lineage: Eukaryota; Viridiplantae; Streptophyta; Magnoliopsida; Gentianales; Rubiaceae
Description: long non-coding RNA (CARA_LNC002861)
Source: RNAcentral